UACGGGGGGGGCAAGCGUUGUUCGGAAUUACUGGGCGUAAAGGGUUCGUAGGUGGCUCGCUAAGUCAGACGUGAAAUCCCUCAGCUUAACUGGGGAACUGCGUCUGAGACUGAUGAGCUCGAGUGCAGGAGAGGAACGCGGAAUUCCAGGUGUAGCGGUGAAAUGCGUAGAUAUCUGGAGGAACACCGGUGGCGAAGGCGCCCACCUGGCCUGCUACUGACGCUGAAGCUCGAAAGCUAGGGGAGCAAACGGG
This 253-nucleotide ribosomal RNA is filed under the name uncultured bacterium. RNAcentral's name for it is "partial 16S ribosomal RNA". It matches the Rfam family "Bacterial small subunit ribosomal RNA", at positions 524 to 776 of the family's 1533-position model. The record is from RNAcentral.